CAUCUGGACUGCAUGGCGUCCAAGUACAAUAGGCCGUCAGUGGGACAUCAUAGAGGGUGACAAUCCCGUCCUUGAUGCCAAUGUGCAAGUCCGUUACGAUGGCUAUCUCAGAGAGUCGAGCAGUUUGGGAUUUGCUGCUUAAACAUGGGAGGUAGAUUCCUUCUAAAGCUAAAUACAGGCAAGAGACCGAUAGAGAACAAGUACCGCAAGGGAAAGAUGAAAUAGAACUCUGUGAAGGGAGUCAAAAGGCGUGAAAUUGUUGCGAGAGAAGCGAUUCAAGUCAGCGUAGCUAGGCCCAUCAAGCCUCUUUGUGCUUUGGACUAGCUUUGCCAGCGGUCUUGUCCCUUAGAGACUUGACUUUUUUUUAUGAUGUCCAGCCUGGUAUGCACAGGUAGCCCCUCCUCUUGGGGGGGGUGGGGCCAGUGACAUGGCUGGUGGAAUGGCUUGCAAUCGACCCGUCUUGAAACACGGACCAAGGAGUCUAACAUGUAUGCGAGUAUAAGGGUGGCAAACCCGUAUGCGCAAUGAAAGUAACUUUCGAUGAUUGAGAAUGGCCUGAUGACCAGACAAGCAAUAUUCAUGUCCCUCGUACGGCCAUUGCCCAAGUUCCGUGGUUAGAUCCCAUGAACAUGGAGUUGGAGCAUACAUGCUAGGACCCGAAAGAUGGUGAACUAUGCCUGGACAAAGCGAAGCCAAAGGAAACUCUGGUGGAGGCUUGUAGCGAUUCUGACGUGCAAAUCGAUCGUCUGAUCUGGGUAUAGGGGCGAAAGACUAAUCGAACCAUCUCAUAGCUGGUUCCUGCCGAAGUUUCCCUCAGGAUAGCAGAGACCUAGUGGAAGUUGCAUGUGGUAAAGCGAAUGAUUAUUGAUCCUGGGGCUCAAAUGGGCCUCAGUCUAUUCUCAAACUGUGAAUGCGUGCGGUUGGACUGUGCUUAGCAAUAGAAGCCCUGCCAGCAAUGCUUCAGUCUCUAGUGGGCCGUUUCUGGUAAGCAGAACUGGCGAUGCGGGAUGAACCGAAAGCGAGGUUAAAGUGCCAGAAUGCACACUAAUCAGAGAUAAAAGGUGUAUGUGCAUGGACACAGCAGGGCAGUGGCCAUGGAGGUUGGCAUCUGCUAAGGAGUGUGUAACAACUCACCUGCCUAAUGUACUUGCCCUGAAAAUGGAUG
Molecule: ribosomal RNA, 1165 nt
Filed under: Cantharellus lateritius
Lineage: Eukaryota; Fungi; Basidiomycota; Agaricomycetes; Cantharellales; Hydnaceae
Description: partial large subunit ribosomal RNA
Rfam family: Eukaryotic large subunit ribosomal RNA
Source: RNAcentral